This 809-nucleotide ribosomal RNA is filed under the name uncultured crenarchaeote. RNAcentral's name for it is "bacterial SSU rRNA". It matches the Rfam family "Archaeal small subunit ribosomal RNA", at positions 55 to 872 of the family's 1478-position model. Lineage: Archaea; Thermoproteati; Thermoproteota. The record is from RNAcentral.
GAGUCAACUCCGCAAGGGGUGGCGCACGGCUCAGUAACACGUAGUCAACCUACCCUAGGGACGGGGAUAACCUCGGGAAACUGAGGCUAAACCCCGAUAGGCUAUAGCCUCUGGAAUGAGCUAUAGCUGAAAUCUAUAUGGCCCUAGGAUGGGACUGCGGCCGAUCAGGUAGUUGGUGGGGUAAUGGCCCACCAAGCCUAUAACCGGUGCGGGCUCUGAGAGGAGGAGCCCGGAGAUGGGCACUGAGACAAGGGCCCAGGUCCUAUGGGGCGCAGCAGGCGCGAAACCUCCGCAAUGGGCGAAAGCCCGACGGGGUUAGUCCGAGUGGUCCCUGCUGAAGGGGCCUUUUGCCAGCUGUAAAAAGGCUGGCGAAUAAGGGGUGGGCAAGUUUGGUGUCAGCCGCCGCGGUAAUACCAGCACCCCGAGUGGUCGGGACGAUUAUUGGGCCUAAAGCAUCCGUAGCCGGCUUAGCAAGUCCUCCGUUAAAUCCAACGGCUUAACCGUUGGGCUGCGGAGGAUACUGCUAAGCUAGGGGGCGGGAGAGGCGAGGGGUAUCCCCAGGGUAGGGGUAAAAUCCGUUGAUCCUGGGAGGACCACCAGUGGCGAAGGCGCCUCGCUAGAACGCGCCCGACGGUGAGGGAUGAAAGCUGGGGGAGCGAACCGGAUUAGAUACCCGGGUAGUCCCAGCCGUAAACGAUGUAGGCUCGAUGUUGGGUUACCCAAGUGGUAGCCCAGUGUCGCAGGGAAGCCGUUAAGCCUACCGCCUGGGGAGUACGGCCGCAAGGCGUGAAACUUAAAGGAAUGGCGGG